Chelonia mydas (Green sea turtle) is the source of this 237-nucleotide long non-coding RNA. RefSeq lists it as uncharacterized. The record is from RefSeq and is a predicted model, not a curated record. The transcript has 4 exons. Lineage: Eukaryota; Metazoa; Chordata; Testudines; Cheloniidae.
AAAACAAGCAUAUGAAUUUUUGAAUUUAGUUAAACAUUCAAGUUUUUUAAAAUCAGGUUUGUUUUUGUUAAAAUUGUUUUUAACUAAAAUAAUUAAAUGAAAUAUAUUUUAAAAAACAAAACAAAUAGACUAUGUCAGUCAGGUCAACAUGAAAAACUUAAAAUAUUGGCUUCUGCAGCUAACUCAGUCGUCUUCAUCUUCAUUUCACCAUUUUCCUGAUUGUUCCUGUAAAGAGUG